Molecule: long non-coding RNA, 2615 nt
Filed under: Ananas comosus (pineapple)
Lineage: Eukaryota; Viridiplantae; Streptophyta; Magnoliopsida; Poales; Bromeliaceae
Description: long non-coding RNA (ACOM_LNC005124)
Source: RNAcentral
CAGUGUUGAUGGAGGGUGCGAAUCAUAUACACUUCUUUUUCCUUGAUAAUGUGGAGGAAUGGGUCCACAUGAAAACAUGCCAAAGAAUUAGGAGAUGCGUGGGAUUUGCGCCUCUGGGCACAAUGUGAAGAAAAGGGAGCCACACAGCGAGAGUGCUUAUGUGACUCCCAAGUUUUCUGUUUUGUUGUUCAGUUUUGGGUCCCACGUAUCAAGUUGAAUUCAUUUAGAUUAUUAAAUCACCGUUUAGGAAGUUAUCCAAUGGAGAAAGAAGAAAUUGGAAUGACGGACUCUCCUGUAUGGAUUUGCUUCAAUUAUGCUCUCUAAAACUUCGUCUCCACGAAGGAAGAAGAAAUUCUCCAUUCUUUUUUUCCCCUAAAUUCUCAAGGUAUGAAUAACAAUGAAGCUGUGGUCUUAUUAAUAAAAAAAUUCUAUUCCCAAGUUUCGUAGUAACAAUAUGAAGCUGUGGUCUUAUUAAUAAAAAAAUUCUAUUCCCAAGUUUCGUAGUAACAAUAAGAAACCAAAAGAAAACUAAAUCAAAUUAAAUCUUCCCAAAUAAAAUUAAAUAAAAUUAAGAAAACUAAUCAACUAAGUUCUAAUUGAUUCCAAAUUCAAAUCCAAAUAGAAUCACAAAUCUUAAUUGAAUCCCAAAUAAAAUCUCAAUCAAAUAAAAUAAAGAAAAUUCCCAAAAUUGAAUAAUAAUAUCAUUUAUGAAAUUUUACGAUUUGUUAGGCUUCGAUUAGGUAAGAUAUCAAUAUAACCAAUUCAGGAUUGACUCUAACUUGAGUUGGAUAGCCAGUUUGCAUCACCUCUGUAGAAGCAGUUCCUUUGCCUAACCAACUUUUUAAUUAGGUGAUGUGAGUUGCCCUAUCCUGAUUUAUGAGCGUCCCUUAUCCUCCUAGGAACAAGCCCUACUCAAGAACCACUUUUGUAGAAGCUCCAACUUGCUUGUUGGGUGCAAACCCGUGAGUAGGAAGUUCCCGUACAUGGGGUGGAGGGAACCCUCCACUCAUCAGCAGUGGGAUGGCCCUGUGUGCAGGAAAUCCUUGUGCACUGGGCUGCAGGGAAUCCUUGCUAAUCAAAAUGGGCACUUAGUUCUGUAACUAAUUUACCGAGGGACGGUAUUUGCUUUUUAAUAAGGUGAAAGCAGAUUAUGCUUGGAUUUUAAUAUGGCUUAAAUUGUGUGCAAGAAACUUGAAAUGCCCCUUCCCUAAAGUAUAAUUUGAUCGGGCUCAUUUUGUUAGCUUGAUGCUAAAGGUUGAUAACAAGUUUCCUUUGUAAAUAUGCUUAGACUAAAUUGUUUGCUUGCAUCUAAUUUAUUUGGUAUAGAGCAUCACUUUAUAUUAUAGUUAAGAAUUUUCUUAGGCGGAAUGCAUACAUCUCACCCUCAUGUACUACAGUACUACACUUUUGGAGGUCUCACUUUAGUAGGAUGGUCAUUGAUUUCCUUGUGUUGGCUAGUGUUAUUGCUUUGAGCCGUACAAAUCUGCUUCCAUGUAAGGCUGUGUAUCUCUUGCCUCCUAGAUACUCCAGUGACGAGAGCCUCAUGCAUUAGGCAUGUUAAGUUACAAAGCUUUUUCUUGCACAAUAUUCAGCAGGCAUGGAUUAAAACUGUUAACUGGUUUUGAAAAUGUUAGAUGGGGGCCAUGGGGCUUAGCUUUAGCAAUUAGAUGGAGAUAAUCUUGUUUUGGAAGGUCUCAAUUAAAGGGUUUUAAUAUGGUAAUGUUCCAAGAGAUAAUAACCUCUUUUGGUUUUCUUUUUUUAAUUUUUUCCCCCUCAAAAAUGCAGUAUACAAGUUGCUCUUGAUAAUCAAAAUCUAUAGAAAUUUCCCGUGGCUUUAUGAGAAGUCUCUUUAAGGGGCUACAACAAUAAAGGAGAGGGUAAAAUGACAAAAAUUACUCCUAUCAGUCCUUUAGCAUAAAGAUAGCUUCGAAAGGGGAGGGCAAUUCAGGUAUUUAAGACUUUUAAUGUAUACUUUAGAAUAGAUUCUACUGAAACCCUAGUGGAAGAUUGAUGAACAGGGGCUAAAAUGUGGGGGUUUUCUGCAGGUUUUGAUUAUUGAAAGAGAAAAGAGAAGGAAGAGGGAUUUUUUGGCAGGUUUUGGUUUGGGAGGAGGGUGAUGAUGCUCCUCAAAUACCGUGGCAGCAUGGUUCUAACAUCUAUCAGUCUGUAAAGUAGGCUCAAUUGGUAGUGUGGCUUCUUUUAAUUGGUAAAAUCAGAUGUCAUGUGUGAUAGAUUAGUUCUACGACAAGAAUGCUGUUUUGGAAGGCCCAGGCAAACUUUUGAGUGGGGUUGGCUUGGAAAUCAUCUUCAAUGACUUUUUGAUCGAAACCGAGGAGUCUUGUCUGGUUUGACCUGCUGUACUUUUUAGGUGUAACCUGUCUUGUUGCUUGGUGAUACUAGCAUAUUGGAUGCUUCUCUGGAAAAGUUUGUGAAGAUUGUAGAGAGUUCAAUUAUUCCAAUUUCAUGCUUGGGCUUGCAUAUUAUACAGCUGAUGUCCUUUUGUUGGUCAGUUUUUUUUCACUUCGGAAUGAUCUGAGCUGUUGCUUGUAUAGUUUAUGUGCCAGGUUUUCCUUGUUGAGUUGGUCUGCUUGUAGUCCUGUAGCAAUAAAUUCUUC